RNAcentral lists this long non-coding RNA (227 nucleotides) under Olea europaea subsp. europaea. Lineage: Eukaryota; Viridiplantae; Streptophyta; Magnoliopsida; Lamiales; Oleaceae. The record is from RNAcentral.
UGAUAACUAUGGUUACAGCUACUACAUUUUUCUCAAAGAAUGGUGAUAUAAACUUUAAUCAUUUUCAAGUAAAAAGGGACAAAAAUAAGAUAAAAUUAAAUUAAACGGUCUAUUAUUCAUGUUAAUCAACAAGCAAGGACAUUUGAAAUGUUGGCUCAAAAAAAAUUAAUAUUGUUUUGAAUGAAACUAAAGGAGGGAGGGAGAGGGAGAGGGAGGGAGGGAGGGAG